Molecule: ribosomal RNA, 444 nt
Filed under: uncultured soil bacterium
Lineage: Bacteria
Description: bacterial SSU rRNA
Rfam family: Bacterial small subunit ribosomal RNA
Source: RNAcentral
AGGAUGAACGCUGGCGGCGUGCUUAACACAUGCAAGUCGAACGAUGAAGCCGGAGCUUGCUCUGGUGGAUUAGUGGCGAACGGGUGAGUAACACGUGAGUAACCUGCCCUUGACUCUGGGAUAAGCGUUGGAAACGACGUCUAAUACCGGAUACGACGCGCGAAGGCAUCUUCUGCGCGUGGAAAGAUUUCGGCAAGGAUGGACUCGCGGCCUAUCAGCUAGUUGGUGAGGUAACGGCCCACCAAGGCGACGACGGGUAGCCGGCCUGAGAGGGUGACCGGCCACACUGGGACUGAGACACGGCCCAGACUCCUACGGGAGGCAGCAGUGGGAAUAUUGCACAAUGGGCGCAAGCCUGAUGCAGCAACGCCGCGUGGAGGGACGACGGCCGUUCGGUUGUAAACCUCUUACGUAGGUAAGGAAGAAGACGAAAGUGACGGUACC